ACGCUGGCGGCGUGCCUAACACAUGCAAGUCGAGCGAGAAGUAAAGAAAUGAAGCUUCGGUAGAUUUUCAUUAUGGAAAGCGGCGGACGGGUGAGUAACGCGUAGGCAACCUGCCCUGUACAGGGGGAUAGCCACCCGAAAAGGUGAUUAAUACCCCAUGAUGCAAGAGAUACACAUGUAUCACUUGUCAAAGAUUUAUCGGUAUGGGAUGGGCCUGCGUCUGAUUAGCUAGUUGGUAGGGUAACGGCUUACCAAGGCAACGAUCAGUAGCCGACCUGAGAGGGUGAUCGGCCACAUUGGAACUGAGACACGGUCCAAACUCCUACGGGAAGCAGCAGUGGGGAAUAUUGCACAAUGGGGGAAACCCUGAUGCAGCAACGCCGCGUGAAGGAAGAAGGCCUUCGGGUUGUAAACUUCUGUCCUAGGGGAAGAAACAAAUGACAUUACCCUUGGAGGAAGCCCCGGCUAACUACGUGCCAGCAGCCGCGGUAAUACGUAGGGGGCGAGCGUUAUCCGGAAUUAUUGGGCGUAAAGAGUGCGUAGGUGGCAUCUUAAGCGCGGGGUUUAAGGCAAUGGCUCAACCAUUGUUCGCCUUGCGAACUGGGGUGCUUGAGUGCAGGAGGGGAAAGUGGAAUUCCUAGUGUAGCGGUGAAAUGCGUAGAUAUUAGGAGGAACACCAGUGGCGAAGGCGACUUUCUGGACUGUUACUGACACUGAGGCACGAAAGCGUGGGGAGCAAACAGGAUUAGAUACCCUGGUAGUCCACGCCGUAAACGAUGAGCACUAGGUGUCGGGGUCGCAAGACUUCGGUGCCGCAGUUAACGCAUUAAGUGCUC
Molecule: ribosomal RNA, 836 nt
Filed under: uncultured bacterium
Lineage: Bacteria
Description: bacterial SSU rRNA
Rfam family: Bacterial small subunit ribosomal RNA
Source: RNAcentral